AAUAGGAUAGUCUUCGUAUAAUUUUGGAAAUAUGGUCCAUUCGUUUCUACCAAACUACCGUAAAUAGUUUGACUACGAGGAAGAGA
RNAcentral lists this non-coding RNA (86 nucleotides) under uncultured Paenibacillus sp. Its description in RNAcentral is "Purine riboswitch". The stretch from base 11 to 82 matches the Rfam family "Purine riboswitch aptamer", at positions 18 to 89 of the family's 102-position model. Rfam says of the family: Riboswitches are metabolite binding domains within certain messenger RNAs that serve as precision sensors for their corresponding targets. Allosteric rearrangement of mRNA structure is mediated by ligand binding, and this results in modulation of gene expression. A class of riboswitches that selectively recognises guanine and becomes saturated at concentrations as low as 5 nM. Lineage: Bacteria; Bacillati; Bacillota; Bacilli; Caryophanales; Paenibacillaceae. The record is from RNAcentral.